RNAcentral lists this ribosomal RNA (441 nucleotides) under uncultured Alphaproteobacteria bacterium. Its description in RNAcentral is "bacterial SSU rRNA". It matches the Rfam family "Bacterial small subunit ribosomal RNA", at positions 8 to 496 of the family's 1533-position model. The record is from RNAcentral. Lineage: Bacteria; Pseudomonadati; Pseudomonadota; Alphaproteobacteria.
AGAGUUUGAUCCUGGCUCAGAACGAACGCUGGCGGCAGGCCUAACACAUGCAAGUCGAACGAUCCUUCGGGAUAGUGGCGGACGGGUGAGUAACGCGUGGGCACCUGCCCUGGAGUGGGGAACAACCGCUGGAAACGGCGGCUAAUACCGCAUACGCCUCGUAAGAGGGAAAGCUUUAUGCGCUCCGGGAGGGUCCCGCGUCCGAUUAGCUAGUUGGCGGGGUAACGGCCCACCAAGGCGACGAUCGGUAGCUGGUCUGAGAGGAUGAUCAGCCACACUGGGACUGAGACACGGCCCAGACUCCUACGGGAGGCAGCAGUGGGGAAUAUUGGACAAUGGGGGCAACCCUGAUCCAGCCAUGCCGCGUGCGUGAAGAAGGCCUUAGGGUUGUAAAGCGCUUUCACCCACGACGAUGAUGACGGUAGUGGAGAAGAGCCCCGC